ACCCGCUGAACUUAAGCAUAUCAAUAAGCGGAGGAAAAGAAACCAACCGGGAUUACCUCAGUAACGGCGAGUGAAGCGGUAACAGCUCAAAUUUGAAAUCUGGCUCCUCUGGAGUCCGAGUUGUAAUUUGUAGAAGAUGCUUUGGGAGGUAGGGCCGGCCUAAGUUCCUUGGAACAGGACACCAGAGAGGGUGAGAGUCCCGUCUGCGGCUGAGGCCUACGCCCGUGUAAAGCUCUUUCGACGAGUCGAGUUGUUUGGGAAUGCAGCUCAAAAUGGGUGGUAAAUUUCAUCUAAAGCUAAAUAUUGGCCAGAGACCGAUAGCGCACAAGUAGAGUGAUCGAAAGAUGAAAAGCACUUUGGAAAGAGAGUUAAACAGUACGUGAAAUUGUUGAAAGGGAAGCGCUUGCAACCAGACUUGGGCGUCGUGGAUCAUCCGAGGUUCUCCUCGGUGCACUCGACGAUGCGCAGGCCAGCAUCGGUUUGGGUGGUUGGAGAAAGGCUCUAGGAACGUAGCUCUCUUCGGGGAGUGUUAUAGCCUAGAGCGCAAUGCAGCCCACCCGGACCGAGGACCGCGCCUUUGGGCUAGGAUGCUGGCGUAAUGGUUGCAAGCGACCCGUCUUGAAACACGGACGGACCAAGG
This 640-nucleotide ribosomal RNA is filed under the name Golovinomyces sp. PQ-2018. Its description in RNAcentral is "eukaryotic LSU rRNA". It matches the Rfam family "Eukaryotic large subunit ribosomal RNA", at positions 23 to 671 of the family's 3401-position model. The record is from RNAcentral. Lineage: Eukaryota; Fungi; Ascomycota; Leotiomycetes; Helotiales; Erysiphaceae.